Molecule: ribosomal RNA, 460 nt
Filed under: uncultured bacterium
Lineage: Bacteria
Description: partial 16S ribosomal RNA
Rfam family: Bacterial small subunit ribosomal RNA
Source: RNAcentral
CCUACGGGAGGCAGCAGUGAGGAAUAUUGGUCAAUGGACGAGAGUCUGAACCAGCCAAGUAGCGUGAAGGAUGACUGCCCUAUGGGUUGUAAACUUCUUUUAUAAAGGAAUAAAACGAGGCACGUGUGCCUUUUUGUAUGUACUUUAUGAAUAAGGAUCGGCUAACUCCGUGCCAGCAGCCGCGGUAAUACGGAGGAUCCGAGCGUUAUCCGGAUUUAUUGGGUUUAAAGGGAGCGUAGAUGGGUUGUUAAGUCAGUUGUGAAAGUUUGCGGCUCAACCGUAAAAUUGCAAGUGAUACUGGCAGUCUUGAGUACAGUUGAGGUAGGCGGAAUUCGUGGUGUAGCGGUGAAAUGCUUAGAUAUCACGAAGAACCCCGAUUGCGAAGGCAGCUUACUAAACUGUGACUGACAUUGAUGCUCGAAAGUGUGGGUAUCAAACAGGAUUAGAUACCCCUGUAGUC